This 468-nucleotide ribosomal RNA is filed under the name Hyaloscyphaceae sp. II GK-2010. Its description in RNAcentral is "eukaryotic LSU rRNA". The stretch from base 175 to 328 matches the Rfam family "5.8S ribosomal RNA". The record is from RNAcentral. Lineage: Eukaryota; Fungi; Ascomycota; Leotiomycetes; Helotiales; Hyaloscyphaceae.
CAUUACCGAGCUCAUGCCCUUACGGGUAGAUCUCCCACCCUGUGUUAUUAUUACCUUUGUUGCUUUGGCGGGCCGCCAGGCUCCGGUCAGGCUAUCGGCUUCGGCUGGUAAGCGCCCGCCAGAGGACCCUAUAUCCUGAUUAUUAGUGUCGUCUGAGUACUAUAUAAUAGUUAAAACUUUCAACAACGGAUCUCUUGGUUCUGGCAUCGAUGAAGAACGCAGCGAAAUGCGAUAAGUAAUGUGAAUUGCAGAAUUCAGUGAAUCAUCGAAUCUUUGAACGCACAUUGCGCCCCUUGGUAUUCCGAGGGGCAUGCCUGUUCGAGCGUCAUUACAACCCUCAAGCAUUGCUUGGUAUUGGGCUCCGCUGCUCACGUAGCGGGCCUUAAAAUCAGUGGCGGUGCCGUCGGGCCCUGAGCGUAGUACAUCUCCUCGCUACAGGGACCCGGUGGACGCUGGCCAUCAACCCCU